RNAcentral lists this antisense RNA (187 nucleotides) under Pleurocapsa sp. PCC 7327. RNAcentral's name for it is "Antisense RNA which regulates isiA expression". It matches the Rfam family "Antisense RNA which regulates isiA expression". The record is from Rfam by way of RNAcentral. Lineage: Bacteria; Bacillati; Cyanobacteriota; Cyanophyceae; Pleurocapsales; Pleurocapsaceae.
AAUAGCCAAAAAUCUUGAUGGGAUUAAUCGUCGGGUUAGCAAUCAUUCGCACCUCGCCAGCAGCACCCGCCCAGGGGUCGAAUAGUCCGCCCCAAAACAUCGCUUUAAACACCAACAAAAAUGCACCGAUGCCGAGAAAAAUGAGGUGAAUACCAAUGAUGGUCGUCAUUUUAUCCCCAUCUUUCCA